This 326-nucleotide ribosomal RNA is filed under the name uncultured eukaryote. Its description in RNAcentral is "partial 18S ribosomal RNA". It matches the Rfam family "Eukaryotic small subunit ribosomal RNA", at positions 1470 to 1796 of the family's 1831-position model. The record is from RNAcentral.
CCCUUAGAUGUUCUGGGCUGCACGCGCGCUACACUGAUGCACUCAACGAGUUUACGACCUUGCCCGAUAGGGUUGGGUAAUCUUUUUAAAAUGCAUCGUGAUGGGGAUAGAUUAUUGCAAUUAUUAAUCUUCAACGAGGAAUUCCUAGUAAGCGCGAGUCAUCAGCUCGUGCUGAUUACGUCCCUGCCCUUUGUACACACCGCCCGUCGCUCCUACCGAUUGAGUGCUCAGGUGAAUAAUUCGGACUGCAGCAAUGUUUGGAUCCCGAACGUUGCAGCGGAAAGUUUAGUGAACCUUAUCACUUAGAGGAAGGAGGAGUCGUAACA